RNAcentral lists this ribosomal RNA (450 nucleotides) under uncultured bacterium. Its description in RNAcentral is "partial 16S ribosomal RNA". It matches the Rfam family "Bacterial small subunit ribosomal RNA", at positions 338 to 795 of the family's 1533-position model. The record is from RNAcentral.
CCUACGGGGGGCUGCAGUCGAGAAUCUUCGGCAAUGGGCGAAAGCCUGACCGAGCGACGCCGCGUGCGGGAUGAAGGCCCUCGGGUUGUAAACCGCUGUCAGUGGGGAGGAAGGCUCUGUGAAGAGCAGGGUUUGACCUAUCCGCAGAGGAAGUCCGGGCUAAGUUCGUGCCAGCAGCCGCGGUAACACGAACCGGACAAACGUUAUUCGGAAUCACUGGGCUUAAUGGGUGCGUAGACGGCUUGGCAGGGAAAUCCCUCGGCUCAACCGAGGAAUUGCGCUCAAAACUGUUGGGCUAGAGGGAGUUAGAGGUAAGCGGAACUUAGGGUGGAGCGGUGAAAUGCGUUGAUAUCCUAAGGAACACCAGUGGCGAAAGCGGCUUACUGGAGCUCUUCUGACGCUGAGGCACGAAAGCUAGGGGAGCGAACGGGAUUAGAUACCCUAGUAGUC